RNAcentral lists this long non-coding RNA (613 nucleotides) under Theobroma cacao (cacao). Its description in RNAcentral is "long non-coding RNA (TCAC_LNC004033)". Lineage: Eukaryota; Viridiplantae; Streptophyta; Magnoliopsida; Malvales; Malvaceae. The record is from RNAcentral.
GGACAAGGAAUUCUAAUGAAAAGAAAAUCAAAUCUCAAGAUCACAACUUACUCAGACAAUGAUUGGGCUAGAUGUCCUCGUAGUAGGAAAUCAAUCACAGGAUAUUGUGUGUUUAUUGGAGACACUCUUGUCAAUUGGAAAUCCAAAAAGCAAGCUGUUGUUGCUCGCAGUUCUGCUGAAGCAAAGUAUCGUUCCAUGGCUUCCACCUGUUGUGAAUUAAUGUGGCUGAAGUACUUGCUGGCUGAUUUUAAGAUAGACCAUGAUGAUCCUAUAGACUUGUAUUCAGAUAGUCAAUCUGCCAUUCAUAUAAGCAAGAAUCCUGUGUUCCAUGCACAAACAAAACACAUCGAGAUGGAUUGCCACUUCAUCCGAGAAAAGGUGUUGGUAGGUACAAUUAAACCUCUUCACAUAUCCACUGAUCUGCAAGUAGUUGAUAUUUUUACCAAGGCUUUGUUACCAAAUCAAUUUUAUAAGCUACUAGGCAAGAUGAGUGUUCAUGAUAUUCACACCUCCUCUUGAGGGGGAGUGACAAACAGGAUCCAAGAAUAAGUCCAGAAUUCUUCAAGACUCGAGUGAGAGUGCUGCAGAAAAGAACAGAAGAAAGAAGUUCAAG